UUUCAUUACUAUUGUCAGCUUAGAUUGUGUGUUUUGUUUAUUUCCUAGGUGUGACCAAGUGAGGUUUUAUUCAUCUUGUUGUGUUGCAGAUCAGCUUCUGUCCCAGAUGCCUGGGGGAUAGCUCAUGUGAAUCCGAUUUUUAAAAAAGGCUCCAGAGGAGACCCCGGCAAUCACCGGCCGGGAUCCCCAGCGAGUCCAGAUGGAUUUAGAGCCCCGCAGAGACUUCACGCCUUUGGGAAUGAUGCAGCCAGCCCGGAUUGUCAGCGGCACAGGGCUCCGGGCGGCCUUUGCAAAGCAAGCUGGUGUUUAUUCAUCCCCUGCAAUCCAGGACUAACAGGGCACACACACAAGAAUAGGACGUGCAGUGGAUCCAAGCUACCCGGGUGUCCGGAAGGGUUUGGAUCCAGUUCCACAUGGGAAACCAUUCAUUACAUUGAAGAAGAGGGGGAUUAAUAGGAGAACUGGAAGGUAUCUAGGUGGGGGGAUCAGGCUGUGUGAUUGUUGCAGAGCCCAAGUGGGCCCCUGUGAUCCUGUCUGCACAGAGAAUGGCCGACACUCUGUCUCCUGAUGGCCUGGGCCCUUCCCCUGCAAAGGUGCC
This is a long non-coding RNA of Trachemys scripta elegans, 598 nucleotides long. RefSeq lists it as uncharacterized. The record is from RefSeq and is a predicted model, not a curated record. The transcript is spliced from 5 exons. Lineage: Eukaryota; Metazoa; Chordata; Testudines; Emydidae.